ACGCUUACCUGGCAGGGAGGUAUUGUGCUCAGGUGGUGUCCCAUGUGUUUUUCAAACUCCAGAUGUGCUGAUUGCUGUGAUUUCUCCAAAUAUAGUAGCUGACUGCAUAAUUUGUGGUAGCUGGGAACUGGGUUCAAACUUUCAA
This 145-nucleotide small nuclear RNA is filed under the name Dipodomys ordii (Ord's kangaroo rat). Its description in RNAcentral is "U1 spliceosomal RNA (ENSDORG00000022157.2)". The record is from RNAcentral. Lineage: Eukaryota; Metazoa; Chordata; Mammalia; Rodentia; Heteromyidae.